Molecule: long non-coding RNA, 515 nt
Filed under: Mytilus galloprovincialis (Mediterranean mussel)
Lineage: Eukaryota; Metazoa; Mollusca; Bivalvia; Mytilida; Mytilidae
Source: RNAcentral
AAAAAAUUAAGCAAUAUUUUCCCAUUUAUAUAAUCAGUAUUACAAUUAACUAAGAGAAUUUGAUAACUAAAUUAUGAACUUUCAACAAUAAAAUUUUAACAAACAACAAGAACAAAUUAAAUACAGCAAACUUGACUUCUCUCUUUAUUGUUCCAGUUUGAAGGCAUGUGUGUGAACUUAUGUCUAGUAAUGGCCUUACCCUGCUUACCCCAGCACAAAAUAUCUAUUUAUCAAUCCUUUUUACCAGCAAACAAGAAAACUGAAGAAAUUUUAGGUUGGAUGAAUGGUAAAUAAUAUGUAGGCAUUACAAAUUUAACUAUCCCAAGUAAAAUGAAAUAUACUUUUUUGAGCCAUUGCAAGGUUUUUUGAUAAUAUCAAUAAUACUAGAUGUAUUGGUCAGCCACCCCUGUUUGAAGGAGUAGUCAACAAUGGCAAAGGGGUAGUUUAACCUCUUAUCUUGCUAACUGGCCAACAUUUAUUACACAUUUAACUUGACCAAUAUAUAUUAUAUUAAC